RNAcentral lists this ribosomal RNA (1521 nucleotides) under Escherichia coli KTE210. RNAcentral describes it as "bacterial SSU rRNA". It matches the Rfam family "Bacterial small subunit ribosomal RNA". Lineage: Bacteria; Pseudomonadati; Pseudomonadota; Gammaproteobacteria; Enterobacterales; Enterobacteriaceae. The record is from RNAcentral.
AGAGUUUGAUCAUGGCUCAGAUUGAACGCUGGCGGCAGGCCUAACACAUGCAAGUCGAACGGUAACAGGAAACAGCUUGCUGUUUCGCUGACGAGUGGCGGACGGGGGAGUAAUGUCUGGGAAACUGCCUGAUGGAGGGGGAUAACUACUGGAAACGGUAGCUAAUACCGCAUAACGUCGCAAGACCAAAGAGGGGGACCUUCGGGCCUCUUGCCAUCGGAUGUGCCCAGAUGGGAUUAGCUAGUAGGUGGGGUAACGGCUCACCUAGGCGACGAUCCCUAGCUGGUCUGAGAGGAUGACCAGCCACACUGGAACUGAGACACGGUCCAGACUCCUACGGGAGGCAGCAGUGGGGAAUAUUGCACAAUGGGCGCAAGCCUGAUGCAGCCAUGCCGCGUGUAUGAAGAAGGCCUUCGGGUUGUAAAGUACUUUCAGCGGGGAGGAAGGGAGUAAAGUUAAUACCUUUGCUCAUUGACGUUACCCGCAGAAGAAGCACCGGCUAACUCCGUGCCAGCAGCCGCGGUAAUACGGAGGGUGCAAGCGUUAAUCGGAAUUACUGGGCGUAAAGCGCACGCAGGCGGUUUGUUAAGUCAGAUGUGAAAUCCCCGGGCUCAACCUGGGAACUGCAUCUGAUACUGGCAAGCUUGAGUCUCGUAGAGGGGGGUAGAAUUCCAGGUGUAGCGGUGAAAUGCGUAGAGAUCUGGAGGAAUACCGGUGGCGAAGGCGGCCCCCUGGACGAAGACUGACGCUCAGGUGCGAAAGCGUGGGGAGCAAACAGGAUUAGAUACCCUGGUAGUCCACGCCGUAAACGAUGUCGACUUGGAGGUUGUGCCCUUGAGGCGUGGCUUCCGGAGCUAACGCGUUAAGUCGACCGCCUGGGGAGUACGGCCGCAAGGUUAAAACUCAAAUGAAUUGACGGGGGCCCGCACAAGCGGUGGAGCAUGUGGUUUAAUUCGAUGCAACGCGAAGAACCUUACCUGGUCUUGACAUCCACAGAACUUUCCAGAGAUGGAUUGGUGCCUUCGGGAACUGUGAGACAGGUGCUGCAUGGCUGUCGUCAGCUCGUGUUGUGAAAUGUUGGGUUAAGUCCCGCAACGAGCGCAACCCUUAUCCUUUGUUGCCAGCGGUCCGGCCGGGAACUCAAAGGAGACUGCCAGUGAUAAACUGGAGGAAGGUGGGGAUGACGUCAAGUCAUCAUGGCCCUUACGACCAGGGCUACACACGUGCUACAAUGGCGCAUACAAAGAGAAGCGACCUCGCGAGAGCAAGCGGACCUCAUAAAGUGCGUCGUAGUCCGGAUUGGAGUCUGCAACUCGACUCCAUGAAGUCGGAAUCGCUAGUAAUCGUGGAUCAGAAUGCCACGGUGAAUACGUUCCCGGGCCUUGUACACACCGCCCGUCACACCAUGGGAGUGGGUUGCAAAAGAAGUAGGUAGCUUAACCUUCGGGAGGGCGCUUACCACUUUGUGAUUCAUGACUGGGGUGAAGUCGUAACAAGGUAACCGUAGGGGAACCUGCGGUU